This 2258-nucleotide unclassified non-coding RNA is filed under the name Haliotis rufescens (red abalone). RNAcentral describes it as "uncharacterized LOC124124845, transcript variant X3". Lineage: Eukaryota; Metazoa; Mollusca; Gastropoda; Lepetellida; Haliotidae. The record is from RNAcentral.
UAGAGAAACACAUCGGGAGUGAUUCGGCGGAGUGAAACUGAUCCCUCUAUGAUAAACUGGCUGUAGGAUUGUGCACCGGACAUGCCGAGGGAAGAUCGUCACCACACUGGACAGACGCUAUUGUGGAUGCUUGUGACAGUGUCAGAGUCUUGCAACGUUUCGAGAAAUCAAGGGAAGAGUUGUAACACUACCAAGGUAAAACCCACACCAUUGCUCUGGCGGGUGGGUAGCGUCCGUUCCUUUGAUACAGUUCUGUGGAAGCCCACAGCUGACCAAACAUGUGGAUCAACCCUAUUGCCAUAGCAGCCUUUGUCCUGACCGUGGUGGCCACUCUGCUGGUGGACCUCGCCAUGUUUCUGCCCUACUGGUGGCGCGUCACGAGUGACCGAGGAACGUACAUCAACUACGGCCUGUGGACAAAGUCCCAGUGUGACGAGGAUGGGAGUUGCGUACUGUCAGUCACGUACCAGAUUGAGGGCGGGAAAGAGUUUCUUUUCAUCAGCAAAAUAUUCAUGACAUUUGCCGUGGUGCUGACGCAGGUCGCCUUAAUCCUCCACAUAAUCUAUGUUCCCAUUCGGAAGGUGGUGGUCAGAUCAAUCGCAAUCUACUGUCUGGGAGCUGCAGGUCUGUUUGUCCUCCUUGCCUUCACCAUCUUCCUGGGCAAGCAUCAGCUGCUUGUGGAGAGAAGCAAGGAAUUCGUGGUGGGUUGGUCAAUCUGUCCGGCGGUCCUGGGGUGUGUGGUCUCCCUUGUGGCUUCAGGUCUCACAGCACUGGCGUCCAUCAAGAAGGCCAAACGUCACGAGGACGAGGAGAGAUUAGCCGGAGUUGUUUAGUGGUCCAGUGGACAAGUCGUUACUUCGUCGUUACUUCAUUGUUACUUCGUCGUUACUUCAUCGUUACUUCGUUGUUACUUCAUCAUUACUUCUUCAUUACUACGUCAUUACUUCGUUGUUACUUCGUCGUUACUUCGUCGUUACUUCGUAGUUAAUUCGUCGUUAAUGCGUCAUUACUUCUUCGUUACUUCAUCAUAACUUCGUCGUUACUACGUCAUUACUUCGUCGUUACUUCAACGUUAAUUCGUCGUUACUUCAUCGUUAAUUCGUCGUUACUUCGUCAUUACUUCUUCGUUAAUACGUCAUUACUUUGUCGUUACUUCGUUGUUACUUCAUCAUUACUUCUUCGUUACUACGUCAUUACUUCGUUGUUACUUCGUCGCUACUUCGUUGUUACUUCGUUGUUACUUCGUCAUUACUUCUUCGUUACUACGUCAUUACUUCGUCGUUACUUCCUUUACUGGACCAGUGGACAAGUCGUUACUUCGUCGUUUAUGACAAUAUGUUUGGGUGAACAGCGGACAGUUCGCUACUUCGUUUACUGGACCAGUGGACAAGUCGUUAUCUCGUCGUUUAUGACAAUAUGUUUGGGUGAACAGCGGACAGGUCGCUACUUCGUUGUUUAUGACAAUAUGUUUAGUGGAACAGUGGACAGGUCGCUACUUCGUUGUUUAUGACAAUAUGUUUAGUGGGACAGUGGACAAUUCGUUACUUCGUUGUUUAUGACAAUAUGUUUAGUGGAACAGUGGACAAUUCGUUACUUCGUUGUUUAUGACAAUAUGUUUAGUGGAACAGUGGACAGGUCGUUACUUCGUUGUUUAUGACAAUAUGUUUAGUGGAACAGUUGACAGGUCGUUACUUCGUUGUUUAUGACAAUAUGUUUAGUGGAACAGUUGACAGGUCGUUACUUCGUUGUUUAUGACAAUAUGUUUAGCCAACAGUGGACAGGUCGCUACUUCCUGGUUUGUGGCAAUAUGUGUAAUGAACCAGUGGAUAGAUCGUUACUUCGGUGUUUAUGGUGAUACCCAGUGUAAAUAUGUAUGUCUCAUGAACAACUCACAGGCAAUCAAAAGUCAAUGUUUCAAUAAGCUCGCCUGGAGACCACUUUGGUCUAAUCUUGUGUUAUAUAACUGAUGUAUAAUAUUCAUCAUGCCUUUGAUUGUGUGUCUUACAUACCCCUAAUGUUCUCUAAUCAUAUACCAGUAAUGUCCAGUAAGUACAUAUGUUCUAAUGACCUUGUUAAGUAUAAACCCUACUGUCCUAUCAAGUAUAUAUCCCUCAUUACCCUGUCACGUACAUACCCCUAGUGUAUCAAUGUUUAACACUGGACAAAUGACGUCUAAAGCUGCAUCUCAAUAUGACACUUGAGUUAUUCCUUUCAAUGAAGUUCAAAUGGUGUAUCGUCAAAUUAACAUUUUCUGGAAA